This 254-nucleotide ribosomal RNA is filed under the name uncultured bacterium. Its description in RNAcentral is "partial 16S ribosomal RNA". It matches the Rfam family "Bacterial small subunit ribosomal RNA", at positions 524 to 776 of the family's 1533-position model. The record is from RNAcentral.
UACGUAGGCAGCGAGCGUUGUUCGGAGUUACUGGGCGUAAAGGGUGUGUAGGCGGUUUUCUAAGUUUGGAUGUGAAAUCUCCCGGCUCAACCGGGAGGGUGCGCCGAAAACUGGGAGACUAGAGUGCGGGAUGGGAGAGUAGAAUUCCUGGUGUAGCGGUGAAAUGCGUAGAUAUCAGGAGGAACACCGAUGGCGAAGGCAGGUCUCUGGGCUGUAACUGACGCUGAGGAGCGAAAGCGUGGGGAGCGAACAGG